Molecule: ribosomal RNA, 141 nt
Filed under: Symbiodinium sp. clade B
Lineage: Eukaryota; Dinophyceae; Suessiales; Symbiodiniaceae
Description: partial 23S ribosomal RNA
Source: RNAcentral
GUGACACUAAAGGACAAAAAGACCUUUUGAAGCUUUAUAGGGAUAAAACUCACCUUUAAAUCAACAAACAAUGAAAUCCAUCUUGUUGCUUCUCCGCUUUUUAAAUUGCUAAAGCCUUACAAGAUUUACAACAUCAAGACC